UGCGCCUGGAGCUUGCUGGUUACAUGAUGGAUUCACAGUGCAGGCUUGCUAAACUGAGCACCCAAACACAUGUGCCAAACCAGGUCCCUUGCUAGCGCACCCACGCGCACCUAGGCACCCCUGCCACUCCAUGCUCCUCGCCCUUUUCACUCGUUGCAGGUGGAUGAAAUGCUCCAUGCGCCCUUUGCAUGCAUCCACGCAUACCGUACAUACACAUAUAGCUCUAACACACUUCCCAUGCAUCUGCAUUGCUUGCCCUCUCCAUCCCCUCCAGCGCCUCCCCCACCUCGAACGUGGCAUACCCUUAACCCACCUCGAACGUGGCAUACCACUCCUCAGACCAUAUCGUACGUCAUUUGCACUAGGUUACUACUGCAAUUAAGAACGCCCGCACGUAAGAACAGCAAUCGCCGGUUCCAUUGCAGUAGUCGGGGCGCAUGCCGCCCGUGGAAAGGGUGGCGAAAGGUCCUUCGACUUGACGUACGUGCCGCACAGAACGCACCAGCCCUUCUCGACGCCCAUUGCAGCGAACGCCUGCAUGCACAACAGAGAACCCAAUUCAUACACCUCAGAUAACAGCAAGUAAUGGUUAGGAAUGUGGGUCGAUGACAUGCAAUCGGCACGCCACCACCAGACCGGGCGUUGUUAACCACAGGGAACUAGCCCUAUGUUGACCAUAUGCUCAUAUGAUAACGAAACACAAUGUGGGCACGGCUGUAUGCAUGCGUUUGCCCGGGGCCAGUGCAUCCCGAUGCUGCGAGCUGACAUUGACGAGUGUGGUGGGAACGAAUGCGUACGUAGACCAGAGCGGACGGCGGAGUGGGCUUGGCUGGCGUGCCGUAGGUGCGCUCGGCCCUCCAUCCAGUCAAUCGGCAUCCUGAGUAUACUAGAAAUAGCGGAACGAGCCAAGGCAAACAAUUUAUGACGUGCAAGGAAUGUUGCAUGGCGCCCCGAGUUCGAAACUGCAUUGGUUAACUGCAGUGCGCUGCAGGUGCCAUGAUCCCUGGUGUUGAUGCAUGUGGUGCUGGUAGCGGGUACCAAAAGCUGGCCCCUCUGCACCCGGACCCCCGCUUCAAACUGCGAGCUAAAAUCCUGGACGCGCGGGCAACGCUUUGCAGAUUUCGUCCGUGACCACCUCGUUGAUAUGGUAUAGGUAAUAGCGGAAAGGCUUGAUACAGGUAUAAGAAGCAGCAGAGCGUUAAAAUGUGAAGCAACCAAAGCCAGCGACGCCUCAGAUGAUAUGCCCGAUGCGCUAGGCUAAAUAUAGGAGCAAAGGAUAGCCCAUAUCAUUCAUCGGAACAAGACUAAGGGCGGUGCCGGCGACCCUACCGUCAGAGCAGAGCCCUCCAGCGCCCAGAGCAGCCAACAGCGACCGCCUUGUCCGCUUCGCUCCAUCUACUUCGUAACACUUCUAGAUGGUCACCUGGCGCACCGGGCGCUGCAUCGAGGCCGGAAAUGCGGUAAUGCUGUUCACAUGGUCAAGUUUCGUCAAAGGCCAGUAAACUAGUCGCCCGGCGCGCCAGGGGUCUUCUAUGGGGUACUCCUUAUAGGUCUAUGCAAAGAAAUCGGGCCGGGGCCUGGUCGCAACUGGGAAUUGGGGGCGGUUGCCGACCGUUACCGAUCACAUGGGCCGAGUUGGCCACCCCGCACCCCUGACUUGCGUCGUGUAAUUGCAAGUCUUGGCCGAUCUCAC
This 1693-nucleotide long non-coding RNA is filed under the name Chlamydomonas reinhardtii. RNAcentral describes it as "long non-coding RNA (CREI_LNC000036)". Lineage: Eukaryota; Viridiplantae; Chlorophyta; Chlorophyceae; Chlamydomonadales; Chlamydomonadaceae. The record is from RNAcentral.